UUUUUAUGGAGAGUUUGAUCCUGGCUCAGGAUGAACGCUGGCGGCGUGCCUAAUACAUGCAAGUCGAGCGAACAGACGAGGAGCUUGCUCCUCUGACGUUAGCGGCGGACGGGUGAGUAACACGUGGAUAACCUACCUAUAAGACUGGGAUAACUUCGGGAAACCGGAGCUAAUACCGGAUAAUAUAUUGAACCGCAUGGUUCAAUAGUGAAAGACGGUUUUGCUGUCACUUAUAGAUGGAUCCGCGCCGCAUUAGCUAGUUGGUAAGGUAACGGCUUACCAAGGCGACGAUGCGUAGCCGACCUGAGAGGGUGAUUGGCCACACUGGAACUGAGACACGGUCAGACUCCUACGGGAG
RNAcentral lists this ribosomal RNA (358 nucleotides) under Staphylococcus epidermidis NIHLM003. RNAcentral describes it as "bacterial SSU rRNA". It matches the Rfam family "Bacterial small subunit ribosomal RNA", at positions 1 to 347 of the family's 1533-position model. Lineage: Bacteria; Bacillati; Bacillota; Bacilli; Caryophanales; Staphylococcaceae. The record is from RNAcentral.